This 605-nucleotide ribosomal RNA is filed under the name uncultured bacterium. RNAcentral's name for it is "bacterial SSU rRNA". It matches the Rfam family "Bacterial small subunit ribosomal RNA", at positions 338 to 943 of the family's 1533-position model. The record is from RNAcentral.
CCUACGGGAGGCAGCAGUAAGGAAUAUUGGUCAAUGGACGCAAGUCUGAACCAGCCAUGCCGCGUGAAGGAUGAAGGCCCUCUGGGUUGUAAACUUCUUUUACAGGGGACGAAAAAGGGUCUUUUCAGAUCAACUGACGGUACCCUGGGAAUAAGCACCGGCUAACUCCGUGCCAGCAGCCGCGGUAAUACGGAGGGUGCAAGCGUUAUCCGGAUUCACUGGGUUUAAAGGGUGCGUAGGUGGGUCUGUAAGUCAGUGGUGAAAUCUCCGGGCUUAACCCGGAAACUGCCAUUGAUACUAUAGGUCUUGAAUUAUCUGGAGGUAAGCGGAAUAUGUCAUGUAGCGGUGAAAUGCUUAGAUAUGACAUAGAACACCAAUUGCGAAGGCAGCUUACUACGGAUUGAUUGACACUGAGGCACGAAAGCGUGGGGAUCAAACAGGAUUAGAUACCCUGGUAGUCCACGCCCUAAACCGAUGGAUACUCGACAUUUGCGAUAUACUGUAAGUGUCUGAGCGAAAGCAUUAAGUAUCCACCUGGGAAGUACGACCGCAAGGUUGAAACUUAAAGGAAUUGACGGCUGAGCGNGCGAGCGACACGAGGAGAG